Molecule: ribosomal RNA, 497 nt
Filed under: uncultured bacterium
Lineage: Bacteria
Description: partial 16S ribosomal RNA
Rfam family: Bacterial small subunit ribosomal RNA
Source: RNAcentral
GAUGAACGCUGGCGGCGUGCCUAAUACAUGCAAGUUGAGCGAACGGACGAGAAGCUUGCUUCUCUGAUGUUAGCGGCGGACGGGUGAGUAAUACGUGGAUAACCUACCUAUAAGACUGGGAUAACUUCGGGAAACCGGAGCUAAUACCGGAUAAUAUUUUGAACCGCAUGGUUCAAAAGUGAAAGACGGUCUUGCUGUCACUUAUAGAUGGAUCCGCGCUGCAUUAGCUAGUUGGUAAGGUAACGGCUUACCAAGGCAACGAUGCAUAGCCGACCUGAGAGGGUGAUCGGCCACACUGGAACUGAGACACGGUCCAGACUCCUACGGGAGGCAGCAGUAGGGAAUCUUCCGCAAUGGGCGAAAGCCUGACGGAGCAACGCCGCGUGAGUGAUGAAGGUCUUCGGAUCGUAAAACUCUGUUAUUAGGGAAGAACAUAUGUGUAAGUAACUGUGCACAUCUUGACGGUACCUAAUCAGAAAGCCACGGCUAACUACGUG